GACGAACGCUGGCGGCGUGCCUAAUACAUGCAAGUAGAACGCACAGUUUAUACCGUAGCUUGCUACACCAUAGACUGUGAGUUGCGAACGGGUGAGUAACGCGUAGGUAACCUGCCUGGCAGCGGGGGGUAACUAUCGUAAACGCUAGCUAUUACCGCAUAAUAUUCAUUAUUGCAUGAUAAUUAAUUGAAAGGUGCAAUUGCACCACUACCAGAUGGACCCGCGUUGUAUUAGCUAGUAGGUGAGGUAACGGCUCACCUAGGCGGCGAUACAUAGCCGACCUGAGAGGGUGAUCGGCCACACUGGGACUGAGACACGGCCCAGACUCCUACGGGAGGCAGCAGUAGGGAAUCUUCGGCAAUGGACGAAAGUCUGACCGAGCAACGCCGCGUGAGUGAAGAAGGUUUUCGGAUCGUAAAGCUCUGUUGUAAGAGAAGAACGGGUGUGAGAGUGGAAAGUUCACACUGUGACGGUAUCUUACCAGAAAGGGACGGCUAACUACGUG
This 505-nucleotide ribosomal RNA is filed under the name uncultured bacterium. RNAcentral's name for it is "partial 16S ribosomal RNA". It matches the Rfam family "Bacterial small subunit ribosomal RNA", at positions 28 to 507 of the family's 1533-position model. The record is from RNAcentral.